This 458-nucleotide ribosomal RNA is filed under the name uncultured bacterium. Its description in RNAcentral is "bacterial SSU rRNA". It matches the Rfam family "Bacterial small subunit ribosomal RNA", at positions 50 to 526 of the family's 1533-position model. The record is from RNAcentral.
AACACAUGCAAGUCGAACGGUAAGGCCUUUUGGGGUACACGAGCGGCGAACGGGUGAGUAACACGUGGGUGAUCUGCCCUGCACUUCGGGAUAAGCCUGGGAAACUGGGUCUAAUACCGGAUGUGACCUCCUAUCGCAUGGUGGGUGGUGGAAAGAUUUAUCGGUGCAGGAUGGGCCCGCGGCCUAUCAGCUUGUUGGUGGGGUAAUGGCCUACCAAGGCGACGACGGGUAGCCGACCUGAGAGGGUGACCGGCCACACUGGGACUGAGACACGGCCCAGACUCCUACGGGAGGCAGCAGUGGGGAAUAUUGCACAAUGGCGAAAGCCUGAUGCAGCGACGCCGCGUGAGGGAUGACGGCCUUCGGGUUGUAAACCUCUUUCAGCAGGGAUGAAGCGCAAGUGACGGUACCUGCAGAAGAAGCACCAGCUAACUACGUGCCAGCAGCCGCGGUAAUUC